GCCUAACACAUGCAAGUCGAGGGGUAACAGGGAAGAGCUUGCUCUUUCGCUGACGACCGGCGCACGGGUGCGUAACGCGUAUACAACCUACCUUUUGGAGGGGAAUAGCCCAGGGAAACUUGGAUUAAUGCCCCAUAGUAUGGGAAUAUCUCCUGAUAUUUUCAUUAAACAUUUAUGGCCAUUAGAUGGGUAUGCGUCCUAUUAGUUAGUUGGUAAGGUAACGGCUUACCAAGGCAGCGAUAGGUAGGGGUCCUGAGAGGGAGAUCCCCCACACUGGUACUGAGACACGGACCAGACUCCUACGGGAGGCAGCAGUGAGGAAUAUUGGACAAUGGGCGAGAGCCUGAUCCAGCCAUGCCGCGUGCAGGAAGACUGCCCUAUGGGUUGUAAACUGCUUUUACAGAGGAAGAACCACUCCCACGUGUGGGAGUUUGACGGUACUCUGCGAAUAAGGAUCGGCUAACUCCGUGCCAGCAGCCGCGGUAAUACGGAGGAUCCAAGCGUUAUCCGGAAUCAUUGGGUUUAAAGGGUCCGUAGGCGGGCAGUUAAGUCAGUGGUGAAAGUCUUCCGCUCAACGGGAGAACUGCCAUUGAUACUGAUUGUCUUGAGUUAUUAUGAAGUGGUUAGAAUGAGUAGUGUAGCGGUGAAAUGCAUAGAUAUUACUCAGAAUACCGAUUGCGAAGGCAGAUCACUAAUAAUAUACUGACGCUGAUGGACGAAAGCGUAGGUAGCGAACAGGAUUAGAUACCCUGGUAGUCUACGCCGUAAACGAUGGUUACUAGCUGUUCGGCCCGAUUAAGGGCUGAGUGGUUAAGCGAAAGUGAUAAGUAACCCACCUGGGGAGUACGUUCGCAAGAAUGAAACUCAAAGGAAUUGACGGGGGCCCGCACAAGCGGUGGAGCAUGUGGUUUAAUUCGAUGAUACGCGAGGAACCUUACCAGGGCUUAAAUGUAGUCUGACAGGAGUGGAAACACUUUUUUCUUCGGACAGAUUACAAGGUGCUGCAUGGUUGUCGUCAGCUCGUGCCGUGAGGUGUCAGGUUAAGUCCUAUAACGAGCGCAACCCCUGUGGUUAGUUGCCAGCGAGUAAUGUCGGGAACUCUAGCCAGACUGCCGGUGCAAACCGCGAGGAAGGUGGGGAUGACGUCAAAUCAUCACGGCCCUUACGUCCUGGGCCACACACGUGCUACAAUGGUAGGGACAGAGAGCAGCCACUUCGCGAGAAGGAGCGAAUCUACAAACCCUAUCACAGUUCGGAUCGCAGUCUGCAACUCGACUGCGUGAAGCUGGAAUCGCUAGUAAUCGCAUAUCAGCCAUGAUGCGGUGAAUACGUUCCCGGGCCUUGUACACACCGCCCGUCAAGCCAUGGAAGCCGGGGGUACCUGAAGUCGGUCACCGCAAGGAGCCGCCUAGGGUA
Molecule: ribosomal RNA, 1416 nt
Filed under: Roseobacter sp. DHVB4
Lineage: Bacteria; Pseudomonadati; Pseudomonadota; Alphaproteobacteria; Rhodobacterales; Roseobacteraceae
Description: 16S ribosomal RNA
Rfam family: Bacterial small subunit ribosomal RNA
Source: RNAcentral